UAACGGAUUAUUUGUUCGGACGUUUCGACGGAACGCUAAUACCGCAUACGUCCUACGGGAGAAAGCAGGGGACCUUGGCCGCUACCGGGCUAUCAGAUGAGCCUAGGUCGGAUUAGCUAGUUGGUGCGGUGUAAUGGCUCACCAAGGCGACGAUCCGUAACUGGUCUGAGAGGAUGAUCAGUCACACUGGAACUGAGACACGGUCCAGACUCCUACGGGAGGCAGCAGUGGGGAAUAUUGGACAAUGGGCGAAAGCCUGAUCCAGCCAUGCCGCGUGUGUGAAGAAGGUCUUCGGAUUGUAAAGCACUUUAAGUUGGGAGGAAGGGCAGUAAGUUAAUACCUUGCUGUUUUGACGUUACCGACAGAAUAAGCACCGGCUAACUCUGUGCCAGCAGCCGCGGUAAUACGAAGGGUGCAAGCGUUAAUCGGAAUUACUGGGCGUAAAGUGUGUGUAGGUGGUUCAGCAAGUUGGAGGUGAAAUCCCCGGGCUCAACCUGGGAACUGCCUCCAAAACUACUGAGCUAGAGUACGGUAGAGGGUAGUGGAAUUUCCUGUGUAGCGGUGAAAUGCGUAGAUAUAGGAAGGAACACCAGUGA
RNAcentral lists this ribosomal RNA (596 nucleotides) under uncultured Pseudomonas sp. RNAcentral's name for it is "bacterial SSU rRNA". It matches the Rfam family "Bacterial small subunit ribosomal RNA", at positions 123 to 715 of the family's 1533-position model. The record is from RNAcentral. Lineage: Bacteria; Pseudomonadati; Pseudomonadota; Gammaproteobacteria; Pseudomonadales; Pseudomonadaceae.